ACACUGCUUGCAGUGCCUACUUUUCUGCUUUUACUUGCUUCUUUUAGAGUGGGUUAUGCACACUCUGAUAUUUCAUAAUUCAUGGAAGGCACAUAUGGGAAGUUAUCCUAACCUUGUGAUGUAUAACUCUCUCUCUCUCUCCACGUGCGCGUGUGUCCGCAUUCCACACACAUAGUGGAUUUAGGACUAGCCUGAGAUUCUGGAGCUUAGUUGCACUUCCUUUUUUAUUGAUGUUUUAUAGGAGUACCAAGAAACCAUCUUUUCCUUUUGUCUGUUAGCUUUUUCUUUUUGUACUUUUAUUUUCUAUGCUCUUCUGUCAUUCGUCUUGGCCUUCACUUUUAUGCUAGGAAGAGAUGGAAGAAUCGAAACCAAAGCAUGUAAAAAGAGAGAUGAACUUGUUAUAAACCUUCCCCAGUGUGCUUUUAGGGCUGCAGUUUGUACUAUUGUAAAUUGAAGUCAUGAUACUGGCUUCUCUGUGCGUCCUCCUCCCGCACACAUAUUUAAUUGAUUUAGGAAUUGCCUUGAUUUUUGGAGUUUCGUUGCAUAUCCUUUUGUUGAUCUUUUAGGAGUAUCAAGAACCAUCUUUUCCUAGUGUUUAUUUGUUUGUUUCCUUCCUUCACUGAGCCGAGGGUCGAUUGGAAACAACCUCUCUGCCCUUUCGGGUAGGGGUAAGACCCGUCUACAUAUUACCCUCCCCAGACUCCACUUUGUGGGACUAUGCUGGGUAGUUGUUGUUGUUGUUGUUGUUAUUUGUUUAUUUCCUCUGUUAGAUGCUUUUCUUUUUGUUUACUGCUUAGACAAGUGAGAGACAGAAAGUAUGUUUGAAAGCCAGCCAGUAUCCUAGUCUGUUGUAGCUCUUCCUUUGUUUGGACACACGGGUAGGGGGGUUUGAAGAGGAGAGGUAGGGGAGAGGAGUGUUCACGAGCAGUUAGCAUUUCUUGAAACAAGGUCAUUAAGUUGAGUGGUUCUCCCUGUCAAAGGGGGAAGUUUUUGGGGAAUUCAGUUCAGUUGAUGUUAAGAGUAUGUAAAUGUAAUUCAUGUUGGAUCACUUGUUUACACAUAAUGAUUUGGCUGUUGAGACUUGUGGCAGUGCCGGAUAGCAUCUUAUGUUCUUAGCUUGUGAGACUUUCCUAAUUGAUGUAUAAUGUUCUCAACAGAUUAACAGAUGCGAAGUUUCUCAACAGAUUAACAGAUAAGAAGUGUGUCAAAACCAUAAUUAGGUAGCUUAUGAGAUUUGAUGUUUACCAAACAUGGUAUACAUCAUUAUUGUGCUGUAGGGAAUGGAAAAUGAAAACUUCCUAUAUCCCUUAAGAUGUGAAUCGAAGCUUUACUUUCUCAUGAAAAUGGAAAAGAUUGCAGUUUGCCUUUACUUUUAUUCAUGAAAUAACUGCAGUGUUGCAACUUUAGUUUCUGAGAGCUUAGGCUUUGUGGAUGUUGUUUUUGGUUGUGUAUAUGUAUUCCUAAAUAUGGACAUAUAUACAUGUGUUUACUGGUUGGAAUAGUUAUCACUGGGGUUGGAGACUGAGUUCACAGUAAAUUAUAAAUUCUGGAAGCUUCGUCUGCCCUUGGCUCUUUGUUUGACGGAGUUAACUAUCCCUCUUAGUGCUGUUUGGUUAACUAUACUAUUUGCGUCCUUUUCCAGGUGAUUGAUAAAGUUCAGGAAGAAGCAAAAAGCCGUGCUGGUACUACUUUGUAAUUUUCAGAAAGUUUAUAACCACUUCUAUUUUAGCUGUUGAAUCAAUAUGGGGUUUGUUCAUUCGCUAGUUUAUCAACAUUCAACUUAAUUUUAGGUAUAUUAAUUGUUUCCUCCAACCAGAAGUUGUAGAACCAAUGCAUGUGUAUAAUGAAAAGAAUAUUUAAUUUUCAAUUCAAGUUUAGUUUGGUGGGAAUCAAAUUGAAAUAAUAUUUUAGAUGUUUUUCAAGAAAUGUUAAAAAGUAAAAAUAUGUGAUAAACCUAGGCCAAGACAAGACACCUUCCUUCACUCUGCAAUAGCCCGACGACUCUUCUACGCUGAGAAUGGUGUGGAAGAUUAUUAAUAACCUCAUGAUUAUUUAAGUUGUAUGAACAUUACUUGCAAAAAAAACGAAGAUAGUUAAUAAGGGAUGUUGGGGCUUUAUAAAGUAUAUAGAUUAUUAGGCUUUUGGCUCCUUCUCAUCUCGAUAAUAUAGAGCUUCCCACAUGUUAAUCUUGGCAUGGUAUGGUCACAUGCUGUGUUAUAUGGAUCCUCCAUUUACUUACGACAAUUGGUGUUGACACAACAGGACACAACACCAAUGCUACUGUGGUGGGGAAGGGUCAAGAAGUUCCUUUUGUCCAAUCUUAGUUUCUCAUUAAAAUUGUACUUGUGAACUGUGUUGAUCUUUUGGGCCAUAUUAUUGACCUGUCAUACUGGUGGAUAAAUAAAACUUUGGAUCACAUUAACAUGAUCUUUGAUGGAAUGUAGAUAUUGUGGAUCAUUAAUAUGUUUGGGGGGAUUUACUUAUUGCUUCAUCUUAUACUUGCAAGUCAUUAACUAACUUUGCGAAGUUGUUAGAUUAAGUAAACAGUGCAUGUGUUUUAAUAAUAACAUGCAUCUUUUAUUUUGCCUCUUUUUGGAGAACCUUAGACAAGAGGGGUUGCUCUGAUGGUAAGCAAUCCUCACUUCCAACCGAGAGGUUGUGAGUNNNNNNNNNNNNNNNNNNNNNNNNNNNNNNNNNNNNNNNNNNNNNNNNNNNNNNNNNNNNNNNNNNNNNNNNNNNNNNNNNNNNNNNNNNNNNNNNNNNNNNNNNNNNNNNNNNNNNNNNNNNNNNNNNNNNNNNNNNGGAAACAACCUCUCUACCCCAUGGUAGGGGUAAGGUCUGCGUACACACUACCCUCUCCGGACCCCACUAAGUGGGAUUAUACUGGGUUGUUGUUAUUUUUGGAGAACCUUCUACUAUGCAUGAACGUGCUCUUUCUCCAUGUUGGUUAAUUCCAUAAUAUAGUAUCUUGUUAAUUUCUUUUGAUUUACUCCAUAACCCUCUCUUGUUUGCCUUGGUGAUGGAUGCUCUUACCCGACAUAUUCAAGGGAAUGUGCCNNNN
Molecule: long non-coding RNA, 3061 nt
Filed under: Nicotiana benthamiana
Lineage: Eukaryota; Viridiplantae; Streptophyta; Magnoliopsida; Solanales; Solanaceae
Description: long non-coding RNA (NBEN_LNC005000)
Source: RNAcentral